AUGGGUUUGCUCUUAGAUUUCCUUUCCCAGCUCCAGAAUGGACAUAUUCUUGGAUCCUCAAGACAUGCCUGGAAAAUUCAAGGAGUGUUGGCAGUACUAUCCAGGUUAGACUUUGCACCGUUGUCUGUAUUGAUCUUCCUUGCCUACAAGUACUGGCAAACAAAGAUAUCAGUUGACGCAGUUGAGAGGUUCCUCCAGAUGCAACUAGCCCUUGGCCCAACAAGGUACGCUUACACAGACAUCACUGCGAUCACUAGCCACUUCAAAGAGAAGUUGGGACAAGGAGGCUAUGGGUCUGUGUACAAAGGUGUGCUUCCUGGUGACGUCCAUGUUGCCAUCAAAAUGUUGGUCAGUUCCAUGUCCAAUGGAGAAGAAUUCAUCAGUGAGGUGUCCAGCAUCGGAAGCAUACACCAUGUCAAUGUAGUGCGUCUGGUGGGUUUCUGCUCAGAGAAAAUGAGGAGGGCUCUUGUUUAUGAGUACAUGCCCCAUGGAUCUCUUGAGAAGUACAUCUUCUCGCCAGAGAAGAGUUUCUCAUCGGACAAGCUCAAUCAGAUUGCUCUGGGCAUUGCCAGAGGGAUCGACUACCUGCACCGAGGGUGUGAUAUGCAGAUAUUACACUUCGACAUCAAGCCGCACAACAUCCUGUUAGACAGUGAUUUCACCCCAAAAAUUGCUGACUUUGGGCUGGCGAAACUGUACCCCAGGGACAACAGCUUUUUGCCAGUGAGUGCUGCCCGGGGAACAGUUGGUUACAUAGCUCCUGAGAUGGUGUCCCGUAGCUUUGGCGCCAUAUCCUCCAAGUCUGAUGUCUACAGCUUCGGGAUGUUGUUGCUAGAGAUGGCCGGAGGACGGAGGAACGUGGACCCACAAGCAUCAAGAAGCCAGACGUACUACCCGUCAUGGGUGUACAAUCAGCUGUCUCGGCAAGAGGCUGUUGGUAUCCAUCAGGUGGAGAGGAAGCUGUGCGUCGUUGCGCUUUGGUGCAUCCAGAUGAAGCCAGACGAUCGACCGGCCAUGAGCGAGGUGCUAGACAUGCUCGAAGCUGGCAUCGAUGGCCUGGAGAUGCCUCCUGAGCCCUUCUUCUGCGGGGACGAGUAUGCUCCUGCUGCAGAUUCUUCAGUAUUAUCAGAGUUAAGUACAUUAUCGGAGUGA
This 1152-nucleotide ribosomal RNA is filed under the name Triticum aestivum (bread wheat). RNAcentral describes it as "partial small subunit ribosomal RNA". Lineage: Eukaryota; Viridiplantae; Streptophyta; Magnoliopsida; Poales; Poaceae. The record is from RNAcentral.